This 301-nucleotide ribosomal RNA is filed under the name uncultured bacterium. RNAcentral describes it as "partial 16S ribosomal RNA". It matches the Rfam family "Bacterial small subunit ribosomal RNA", at positions 509 to 807 of the family's 1533-position model. The record is from RNAcentral.
CAGCAGCCACGGUAACACGUAGGGUGCAAGCGUUAAUCGGAAUUACUGGGCGUAAAGCGUGCGCAGGUGGUUCGCUAAGACAGAUGUGAAAUCCCCGGGCUUAACCUGGGAACUGCAUUUGUGACUGGCGGGCUAGAGUAUGGCAGAGGGGGGUAGAAUUCCACGUGUAGCAGUGAAAUGCGUAGAGAUGUGGAGGAAUACCGAUGGCGAAGGCAGCCCCCUGGGCCAAUACUGACGCUCAUGCACGAAAGCGUGGGGAGCAAACAGGAUUAGAUACCCCUGUAGUCCCUGUCUCUUAUAC